GCUUCUCACCGCGCUGCCGCGGUACAUGUUUCAUGUAACGAGGAAAGUCCGGACAGCAUAGGGCAAUACACCGGCUAACGGCCGGGGGGCGGGCAACCGUUCACAGAAAGUGCCACAGAAAAUAACUGCCCGUUUCGCUUUGGCGAAACAGGUGAGGGUGAAAACGUAGGGUAAGAGCCUACGGUAGCCGGCAGUAAUGCCGGUUGGGGGUAAACCUUGUAUGCUGAAAUGCCAUGUAAACCGGUGGCUGAGGGCGGCUCGCCCGAUGGUUCCGAAAGGGCCAACGCCGGAGGGUAGGCAGAUAGAUCGCAAUAGUAAUGUUGCGGCCAGAUAAAUGGUAGCGGCCUGUUAUGGGUAAAACCAAAACAGGAACAGAAUCCGGCUUACAGGUGAGAAGUUUAU
Molecule: RNase P RNA, 402 nt
Filed under: Flavihumibacter sp. ZG627
Lineage: Bacteria; Pseudomonadati; Bacteroidota; Chitinophagia; Chitinophagales; Chitinophagaceae
Description: Bacterial RNase P class A
Rfam family: Bacterial RNase P class A
About the family: Ribonuclease P (RNase P) is a ubiquitous endoribonuclease, found in archaea, bacteria and eukarya as well as chloroplasts and mitochondria.
Source: Rfam by way of RNAcentral